GACGAACGCUGGCGGCGUGCCUAAUACAUGCAAGUCGAACGCAUGUUCUUUCACCGGAGCUUGCUACACCGAAAGAAAAUGGGGGGCGAACGGGUGAGGAACACGUUGGCAACGUGCCCAUCAGCGGGGGAUAACACUAGGAAACAGGUGCUAAUACCGCAUAAUUCCAUUUACCGCAGGGUAGAGGGAUGAAGGGCGGUUUUGCGUCACUGAGGGAUGGACUCGCGGUGCGUUAGCCAGAUGGGGGGGUAACGGCCUACCAAGGCUGCGAUGCAUAGCCGACCUGGGAGGGUGAUCGGCCCCACUGGGACUGGGACCCGGCCCCAACCCCUACCGGGGGCAGCAGGAGGGGAUCUUCGGCCAUUGGCGCAAGCCUGGCCGCGCACCUCCGCGUGAGUGGAGGAGGUUUUCGGAUCGUAAAACUCUGUUGUUAGAGGAGAACAAGGAUUGGGGUGGAAAGUUCAUCCCUUGACGGUAGCUAACCAGAAAGCCACGGCUAACUACGUG
RNAcentral lists this ribosomal RNA (507 nucleotides) under uncultured bacterium. Its description in RNAcentral is "partial 16S ribosomal RNA". It matches the Rfam family "Bacterial small subunit ribosomal RNA", at positions 28 to 507 of the family's 1533-position model. The record is from RNAcentral.